AUUAAUCACAUGGCGGAGAUAAAAAGAGUUUGAUUGAUUGAGUAUGUUUUAGAAGUGAAUGACAAAUGUUUGAUAUGAACAAGACAUAAGCCUCAGGAUCAAACAUUCGGGGUUCCACUGAAAUGCUAGAUUCCAAUGGUCAUUUUUCACUCUAGUUGUUUUUUAAGAAAAUUGUUUAAAGGAUAAUGAACACUUGAUAAGAACAAGACACAUGCCCUAGAAUCAAUUGUUCAAGGGUUACACCAGAAUGCUAGAUUCCAACGGACCUUUU
RNAcentral lists this long non-coding RNA (271 nucleotides) under Lathyrus oleraceus (garden pea). Its description in RNAcentral is "Pisum sativum (pea) long non-coding RNA (PSAT_LNC007527)". Lineage: Eukaryota; Viridiplantae; Streptophyta; Magnoliopsida; Fabales; Fabaceae. The record is from RNAcentral.